UGCCGGACGGCCGCGCGGUAUCACGCCGAAAGGUAUUAUCGUGAGGAAAGUCCGGGCUUCACAGGGCAGGAUAGCUGAUAACGUCAGCCGCAGGCGACUGCCGGGAAAGUGCAACAGAAAUAAACCGCCCGCUUUCAGCGGGUAAGGGUGGAAAGGCGAGGUAAGAGCUCACCAGUUCCUAUGGUAACAUAGGUCCGCUGUAAACCCUAUCCGAAGCAACACCGCAUGGAGAUCGUUUGCCCGACGCAUAUCUCCGGGUGGCACGGCGUAAUUGCCGGAGCGCGACGGCGACGUCACGCAAAGAUAGAUGGCCGUUCAAGACAGAACCCGGCUUACAGGCAGAGUU
RNAcentral lists this RNase P RNA (346 nucleotides) under bovine gut metagenome. RNAcentral describes it as "Bacterial RNase P class A". It matches the Rfam family "Bacterial RNase P class A". From Rfam's summary of the family: Ribonuclease P (RNase P) is a ubiquitous endoribonuclease, found in archaea, bacteria and eukarya as well as chloroplasts and mitochondria. Its best characterised activity is the generation of mature 5'-ends of tRNAs by cleaving the 5'-leader elements of precursor-tRNAs. The record is from RNAcentral.